UUCCCUGAGGCUGGACUCAACGGGUCUCGGCUGAGCCACCGGGUGAGCUUACUGCCCAGCUCAAACCAGGAGAUUGCGAGGGAGCGAUGCGGUGCCGCGCGAUUUGCUUGUAAAUGCAUCACGAAGAGGCAGCCCAGAAUGAAGAAAGCAAGCAGGAGUGUUGGCUCAGUGCCUAAAGUGUCUGCAAUAAGUAAAACGCAAACAGCAGAAAAAGUUAAACCUGAAAACAGCUCUUCAGCAUCUACAGGAGGCAAACUUGUAAAACCUGGAACAGCAGCAUCAUUGUCAAAGACCAAGAGCAGUGAUGACCUUUUAGCUGGAAUGGCCGGAGGGGUAACGGUGACUAAUGGUGUUAAAGGAAAGAAAAGCACCUGCCCAUCUGCAGCACCUUCAGCAUCUGCCCCUGCCAUGACCACCGUGGAGAACAAAUCCAAGAUUAGCACAGGCACAGCUUCUUCAACCAAGCGGAGCACUUCUACAGGUAGAGGAUGAAUACCGAGCCUUCCAAGAAGAAGCUAAGAAACAAAUUGAAGAUUUGAAUAUGACGUUAGAAAAAUUAAGAUCAG
This 566-nucleotide small RNA is filed under the name Pongo abelii (Sumatran orangutan). RNAcentral describes it as "processed transcript". The record is from RNAcentral. Lineage: Eukaryota; Metazoa; Chordata; Mammalia; Primates; Hominidae.